This 383-nucleotide long non-coding RNA is filed under the name Panax ginseng (ginseng). RNAcentral's name for it is "long non-coding RNA (PGIN_LNC014713)". The record is from RNAcentral. Lineage: Eukaryota; Viridiplantae; Streptophyta; Magnoliopsida; Apiales; Araliaceae.
CCUUUUGCUUGGUGAUUUGGUUGAAUUUGAUACUUCAAUCAUGCUUCAAGCUUGUUUAUAACCGAAUUGAAUUCUUUAACAAUUCUUUGCUCUAAGUUUUCCUCAAUUUCAGUUGUUAGCUUCAAUUCCUUGAAAAUUUGAUGAUGAUUUAGGAGUAUAAAAGCUUGGGUAAUUAGAGAGAGAGAGAGAUGAAGUGUGUAACGGAUGAAGCAAGAAAAAGAAUGCUGAGAUUAGUUUUUUUUGAUUCUUUGCCUCUCCUUCCAAGUAUCUGAUAUGAGCUUAGUGUGCUAAUCUCCUGCCACCUCCUACUUAGACUCUAAUGAUUCAUCAUAAGCAUUAACCUCUUGCUUGGUUUUUAAUUCCCAGCAUUCUCCAUUAUUAGU